Molecule: ribosomal RNA, 612 nt
Filed under: uncultured bacterium
Lineage: Bacteria
Description: bacterial SSU rRNA
Rfam family: Bacterial small subunit ribosomal RNA
Source: RNAcentral
CCUACGGGAGGCAGCAGUAAGGAAUAUUGGUCAAUGGACGAAAGUCUGAACCAGCCAUGCCGCGUGAAGGAUGAAGGUCCUCUGGAUUGUAAACUUCUUUUAUCUGGGACGAAAAAAGGGCUUUCUAGCUCACUUGACGGUACCAGAGGAAUAAGCACCGGCUAACUCCGUGCCAGCAGCCGCGGUAAUACGGAGGGUGCAAGCGUUAUCCGGAUUUACUGGGUUUAAAGGGAGCGUAGGUGGGCAGGUAAGUCAGUGGUGAAAUCUCUGGGCUUAACCCGGAAACUGCCAUUGAUACUAUCUGUCUUGAAUAUCCUGGAGGUAAGCGGAAUAUGUCAUGUAGCGGUGAAAUGCUUAGAUAUGACAUAGAACACCCAUUGCGAAGGCAGCUUACUACGGGAUUAUUGACACUGAGGCUCGAAAGCGUGGGGAUCAAACAGGAUUAGAUACCCUGGUAGUCCACGCCCUAAACGAUGGAUACUCGACAUCAGCGAUACACUGUUGGUGUCUGAGCGAAAGCAUUAAGUAUCCCACCUGGAAGUACGACCGCAAGGUUGAAACUCAAAUGAAUUGACGGCUGAGACGAGACGACGACGACGACGAGGGAGGAGG